RNAcentral lists this non-coding RNA (90 nucleotides) under Brucella pseudogrignonensis. RNAcentral describes it as "Ochrobactrum pseudogrignonense Glycine sequence". It matches the Rfam family "Glycine riboswitch aptamer". From Rfam's summary of the family: This family represents the bacterial glycine riboswitch. Glycine riboswitches usually consist of two metabolite-binding aptamers domains with similar structures in tandem. The record is from RNAcentral. Lineage: Bacteria; Pseudomonadati; Pseudomonadota; Alphaproteobacteria; Hyphomicrobiales; Brucellaceae.
UGUUUGUCUGCGGGAGAGAGCUGACGCAAGUUGGCCACCGAAGGGGAAAUCGCCCGAAAUCUCUCAGGUACAAGGAACCGCAGACGGGUA